AAAAGAAAAGUCACUGCCACAGUAUGCAAGCAAGCCAGCCAUUAGGCUUGUUCUAAGCUGUUAAGCUGUCUUAGACUGUGAUGGAGUGAAUUUUGUUCUUCCUGUUAUUAACAGGAACCAUUCAGCAGAGAUAGAACUCCUACGGCCUCAAUUUUUGCAAUGUCAUUCCCUUACGACCAUGCUUUGUAUCUUUUUACUGACAGAGAUGCUAAAGCCUGGGACUAAUUUAGGCACCUGAUACCAUCAGACACCUGUGAAAAUCCCUCUCCUAAUGGCUUCAGCUUCACCUUCACCUUAGUGAUUCUGCUGGAAGCAAAGCUUUUUUUCAUAAACAGAGGUGUGAUUUUCACUGCCAGAGAAGGAAAGCCUUUUAACUGAAGAGUUACACCUGAAUGACUGUUAUCCCUUCAGGAAAAGAAAGAAAAAACCCUCAUGGGACCAACCAAUAACUAAUGAGUCUGUCUAUGGAGGUGAAGCAAGAAAAGCAUCACUUGUCUUGUUUGGUUUGGCAGAGCUGGAACACUUCAUAAGAGAUGAAGCUGCUACAACUUGCCUUCCUUUCUCCCAUAGCUGUGCAGCCUCUUCUGCCAAAAGCACUCUUCUAUUGGAGCACAUGCAGCAGGUGACACACUGUGGACAUGAAAAAAUACAGAAGACCCUUGUUAGGGCAUAUGAUACCAGACUAGAAGAACUAAGGAUUACGAAAAUAAGAAACAGUCCUUAUCCUGACUUCUUUUGCUGCUCAUUUGAAGGGUAUAUCUUCAAAAAUCAACUGCUCACAUACCUGUUUUGGUAUCUGAAAAACAAUUUUCUAAAUGUAGCUAAGCCAUCAGAUUUCAUAUGUAUUUUCUUAUAUGUAAGUGUUUAUUUUUUUUUUCAACCAAACUCAGUAAAUAAUUGUUUCGUGGUUUUGGAGCUGUUUCUGAACUUGAAUUCUCCAUAUAAGCUUAAGUUCCAGCGUUCAGCUGCCAGGUGGAAAUCACAGGAGAAAUGCUACUGAGAAUUAUGUUCUUGCUCUGUUCCAAGUGCUUUUUUGAAGUUCAUUAGGCAGCCCAGACCCACCAGGGCCCAGUAGUUAGCAGAUAUCCAUUCUGCUCCACAGCCUCAGAGAUCAACCAAUUGGAGUCAGUAAAAGAUUUUGCAUAUUUUUAAAUGGAAGUCUUAGUCUGCUGUCUUUCAGUUUUACAAGACUGUUACCUAUAUACGCACAUCUUAGAAGACUGUCUGCUUACACUCUAGCUUUGUCCCAUUUUUAAUAAAAACUGUGAUACCCAAUAGUUUGGAGCCAUUUGAGAAAUCUGUGCUGGUGGCAGCGAAACAUCCCUAUGUUCAGCAUGGCUUGAGUUUGCAUGGUGUCACCAAAUUCAUCCCAAACUCUAAUUAAAAUACAACUCAAGUAACAAAAUUUUAUCCUGAUUCCUACUAGAAGGUUGAAUUUGUUUUGGAUAUGAUCCUGGUUCUUUUGGUUAGUGCAGAGUCUGAAAUGUGUAAUGGUACCAGAGGCCACGUUUUACUUGUAAUAUAUUGUGCUGCACAGAUUACUGCAAGGCUUACUGCGUCUUUAUAAGAGAUCAGCUUGCAUUAUCUGUGAUAGAAACUUCUUGAUCUUGUUAUUUAUAUCUAUAUGUGUAUAUUUGCUUGAGUUUAGUAUGAGAAUUAAAAUGUGGCAGUGGGGCUUACAGAGUUCACUCCUUGCCACAGAAGUGGUGCAAGGUUACCAGGACCCAUGUAUAGCAGAGUUUAAGCAAAAUCAAGAGGUGACAUAGUUCUUGGUCUCUCUAGCCUUGUGACUUUGGAGGUGAGUGUUGAGUUUCCUGUUUGUAGCUGAGCCAGCUCCAGGAACAAUCCUAGCAGUAAAUCGUCUCCAAAGUUCUUCAUCUCACAUGAAGGUGCUGCAGCUACCAGCCCUAGAUGUCUGAGUUUCUGGUCUACAUCUGGAAGGAAGAAGCUGCUGACUUGCUGCUGAGUCAGGUAAUGGUUGCAAGUUUCCAUUGCUGCCAGUUUACCAAGCACUGUACAGCUGCUGCCUCUGUUUGAUAGCCUUUGGGAGUUAGGAUAUGGUAUAGGAUAUGACAUAGAUGCAUCUUCUGGUCAGAAAGGGAUGGAAAUAAGUAGAGUGGGAUGAUGGAAAGGGAAAGGGAGAAGAAGAAGAUGAGAAACAUCUUGUUUCUUGGCUACACAUAAAGGGUUUGGAUGAUGGCUAUAGACUUCAAAGUGAAGGACAUUUUAGGAAUAUAAAGAUAACCCCUGGUUGUCUGCAGAUUCUUUACCGUGUAGGUAACUACGAUACCUUCAAAGCUGCCAUUUAGCACAAAGUCAAGUUCUUUCCCCUCACUGUCUGCUCCGUUCUCUUCAAUGAGAAGAGACUAUAAAAAAGCAACAAAAACAUUGCUAUAUAUUAGUGUUGCACAGCCAAAAAAUUCCCCACAGUUUUUCUACAGCACAAUACUGUGUCUUCAGUAAGCUGUAUGAUAAGUCUCAUGUAUAAAACCAGACUGGAAAUGAGGACACUCUUUCCCACACUGUGUUCUUUGGCCAAGUAGAUCCCUUGAAAGAUCACUUUGCUGUUCUCUGACUCCCUUGUUCCCCUGUAAAAUGAUAUUUCGCAUGUUAGGAAAGCUCUUUGAGAUGUCUGGGUAAAAAUCUCUAAGCAAGAUUUAAAUAUUAUUCUAUUAUAUUCAUGCACACACUCCCUGAGCAUGUAUUCGGCGAUAUGAUGUUUUAAUGAUUUCCUUUACUGCAGAUUUCUAUGAAUUCAGUGUAAUUUCUAAAACUCUUCUUCUAUUCACUAGAAAAAUCUGUUCUUCAUAUUCCUAUGUGAAAAUAAACUCUAUUCAUUCAUUUAUUUUUAUUUAAAGUAAGAUUAUGCCUACUACAAUUCCAUCUGUAAAAUGUGCUUUGGCAUAUCCUUUAAGAAAGCACUUAUCUAAUCUAUUAAUCUUUUCCUAAAUUCAGGUCUUUCCUACACCUUUAUAUAGUAAAAAUAUAUUUUAACACAGAAGUGAAAUUCCCUAAGUACAAAGCCUCAUUUUAUUCUGUAGAAUUACGCUGUCAAGCAAUGACAGAAUAAAAUUUCCCCAGAUAGACAGAAAUACUGCAAUGGCCCAAUUUAUAUCUAUUCUAAAAUAUGGAUUUUACGAAUCAUUAAUCAUAUUUUUGUUAUGAAGUGGCAGGAAGCUGGCCUAAAAGUCUAAAGUAAAAUAUACUUCAUUGUCACAGAGAAAUCUACUCACCACCUGAACUACUUGGAAUUUUGAUUCCUGUAUAACAAAUACAAGGCACUUCAGGCAAGAAAAAUUAUGACAUAAUUGGCAAAAGUCCCAUCUCCAGAUGGAGGAACUUCUAAGACUGACACAUUAAGCUCACAUAAUUUAUGUUAUGGGAGAAAUAAAAUAACCAAAUUCCCUCUGAUUACACCAUCCAGGAGCAAGGUUUAAGCAGGCAUGUUCUCUGAAUUAAAACCAAAUUCUUCCCUGAAGUCUUCAACAAAUUUAGAAUACUAUGUUAUGAAAAAUACACAAAGGGCAAUUGCUGCAAUUAAGUCUAAGCUAUAGGACCCAAGAGCACUUUGCAGAGUCUUUAUAGAUUUGCUCCUGCUCAGGCAACUAUAUCCUAGUGAUUUAUAUGCCCUAUUCUUCUAAUAGAAGUGCCUACAAGACUCUACUUACACUUCCAUGCAGCAGGAUUAUAUUUUAGAUGGGGAAUGUCAGGACAGAAUGACAAGGGAGCUUGUAAUAUAGAGGGAAUUGAACCUGUACAUCAAAUACUACGGUGCUUUCCCCAUUAGGGAACAGCUGUUCCAGCCCAUGCAGAAGUUUGGAGGUCUAAGACAAGGUUGUUAAUGUAAGUGGUCUGCAUUACUGUACAAGCCAAACUAGCUGGAUGUACCUGUGCAAAAUGAUACAUUUGCCAACUUUGAAGGUGGCAUGAAGGAGGUAUAUUUGAACUAGGAAGGAGUUGUAACAAUCUUGUAAUGAUGUGUUCCACUCUCAUGCACCAUCCUUCGGGGAUUGUUUGAAAAAUGUCAGUGUUCACUUCCCAUCUUUGAUUCUUCUUGGUCACGGAGAUAACAAUCUGUAGAGGAAGAAGCAGGAGUGUGACGCUAUUGAGGGCUGGGAAAUAUUUUUUUAUAAGGGUGUUUUUUUCUAAUCCAGUGUUCUUAAUAAAUGCUGUACUUGUUUUGGUUCAAGCCAGUCACUGAAGAAGACUCUGUUAGACAUUUCCCACCAGUCCUGCAUAUCCCCAAACGACAAUGCCAAUGCCUUGCAUACUUAGUUAAUAGGGUGUAUUUCUCCAGUAAUUGUCAAAUAAGGGCUUAGCUAAUUUGUUAGCUAAUUUAAAAGAAAAUUAAGUUAAUAGCUUGCCUUGAGAGCAACAUGUGCAAAUCCAUGCAGAUAUAAAAAGAGAUCAUUCUUUCAAGAUAUGUUUUGGCUUACAGCAGGCAUUAAUAUUGGAAGGGAAGCCAUGAAAAGUCCCCCUACUGCCUACUAUUUGCCUACUGCCAACAUGGAAUCUUGUUGUUGGAUACAGUCAAUCGAGUUUAAGAAAAAAUUACCUUGUUCCUGCUUGCUGGCCUCCGCAGUAUCAACAGUUUGAAUGUAUUUAUGACCUUCCAAACUAAAGGUGUGACGUGCUUUGUCUGCAAAGUGGCAGGGAGCUGGCAUUCUGCCGAACUUUCUCUCUAUUCCCUGCUUUUAUGUGGUAAGGAGAUUCAUGGGUUUUGUGUUGUUGUUAUUUUUCCACUAAUUUGUGCUUUCGCCUGAAGUGUGACGCUUUGGACUGGGGGGUAGAAGACUUAAUGAGAUGGCUUUGGUGUGCCCCAGUUCUGGUAACCUUCACACCAGCCAUAAAUUGCCCACUUGUCUGCAGCCAUCCUAGCAUGACUGUGUCCCUGCGACAUGGGAGCUGCAGUGCUCGGCCACCUAACUGCUCCUGUAAUCGCUCUAUGACAUUGAGUUUGAGGUGAAAAAUUCAGGUGUUUUGAAUUCUGAGGGGAUUUUGAUCUCACCAUCAGCUAGUUCCAGUGUUGGGAUGAGGAGUAUAGGAUGAAAGUAUAACCAAGGCCUUCCUGGUCAGAGCCUGGUGAGAGGAUGAGGCAAACAGGAGGAGAAUGCACACAAUAAGAGGGAACCCUUCUAAUAAUGGGGUUUAAAUAACUAUGCUGGGAACCAUCUGUGAUUUUAACAGCCAGUUUGACUCAACUGUACUGAAUUGCCUCCACUAAUCUUUGGCAAACAUCUCUACAAUUACAUUAGUAGGAUAAAUAGGUGGCAGAGAUACUUCUAAUAAUCUCACAAUUUAGAAUUUUUCGUAUACUAUAAAACUUGGAUGUUUUAUACUCCCUCCAGCAGCCUGUGUUGUUUAAUAACCAUGAUAUUUUGGUUUUAGUUCUUGCUGUUGUAACUAUCAUCAGUCACACAUCUCUCUAGUUUAUUUAGAAAUAGCAUUUAGUCUUUGAUGUAUUAGAGAGUAAUGUUGAGAGAUAGGAAACUGUUCUUUUAGGAAUCCUAUUGAUGCAGAAGCUUGGAAUACUAAGGUUUACUUCACUAAUGACUAGCCAUUGUGAGCCCUGCUCACAUUUUCUUAUCUCCUUUCUACUUCAGUAAUUUUAUUCUCAUAAGGUAACACAAAAAAAAAGGGCUGUGAAAAGUAUGAGCUAAUGACCUAGCUAAUCAAGUCUUCUGUACAUUAGAUCAGUGUUUUCGUAUAAUGCCAGCUUGGAUGAUAUGAUAGCAUCCAAGGAUCCACUCCAAUUAAUACUCCAGUAAAGGCUUCACGAAAGGUCCUACACUGUUGGAGAAGGAUUUGUUAAAUGUGACUUCUAAAAAAAAUGCUCCCUGUUUGCAGAAUUAAACUGUGGUGUGAAAUAGAGAUUAUUGUUCAUAAAUUCUAAUAUUCAUGUAUGUGUACAUCCUGCCUUCAAUUGUAAAGUGCAAUUUCUAUCUGGAAAUAAUUAUCAGAAAUGUGAGCUAGAUUGAAAUCUAAGGAGCACACAGGUUGUUUAUAUUGCAUGGCAGACUGGAGUUCCAGCAGUUAUCCACAUACAGUGUGAAUCCACUCACUGCUGACCUUAACGAGAUGUAAGUGAAGCAGGCCUGUUUCUGUGCUGUGAAAAGAAGAGCAUGAGAACCUUGCAAUAUUGUGUAUACCUCUUGUAAAGAGUAAUAUAAUGUGAUAAAGGUGGAUGAUAAACAGUAAGAUCUUAGCUAUAGCCCAGAGAGGUAAACCUCUCUUAGGGUAUUUGAUACCAAAUUUGUUUUCAAAGGGAGAAAUAUGCCAGCCAUGGUGUGAGAGUGCAAGUGCGCUCUGGCAGUGAUUUUCUGCAGCAUCUGUAGCAUGGAGUAUGUUAUUGCUUUUUUAUUCUUUGUGCUAAUCAGGUCAGGUUUGUGCAAUUCUCAAAAUAUACAGUGACUCAUGUGUUUGUGUUUUCACUGUAGCUCAAUUUAAGAUUAAUUGGAGUCUAAUUCUCCUAAUUGUUACCUUCUUUGGAGACAUUAAAGCCUGGAUAAGAUUACAGCCCCAGUAAAAUACCACUGCUGUCUACAGGAAUCUUCAUACUGACUCCUUGAAUGGAAGCUCCUUGAGCUUUUAUUAUCUGUCUUCCUGACCUGCCUUUUUAAAAUUUUUUCACUGCUUGUAGUGUUAAGCUGGUAAUGCAUACAUGAAAAACUACCAUGAGGCCUCUCGUGAGCCUCAUUAAAACAAGAGAGAUUAGUGAGAUUGAUUGACUGAAUUGUAAACAUCUUCUGUGCCCCCCUCCACAAUUUUUAUUACAUAAUUUUCCGUUCAAGUUUGAGCAAUUGGCCUGUUCAUUAUUCUUGUAACUGUCUGUCAUUUGCUUUUGUGUGAACUAUUUUACUUUGUCUAAAUUUGAUUAAAAAAAAAAGAGCUUUAUGGUAAAAACAACAUAAUUUUUGUACAGUAAAAAGUAAGUGUACACACGGUAGAGCGAGAAAGAAACCCAGUGCGAGGGAUGCUGAAAGUCAGGUCUGUAUGUGAACUUGUUUGUCAGGUUUUGGAGGACAAAGAUGCAAGCUGCUCCUUCAGGAAAUGGGUCAAACCUAUUUCAUUCAGAAGUUUGAAAUGAGUCAUGUAUUGUCUGUAGUUCUCUGCAGACAAAAGGCCUACAAGGAAGCAAAUCCGCAUAGUGUAUUCAUGGUGUUUCUAUAACACAUUAUUUCUUCAGAAGCUUUGUACAGAUAUUAAUUCAUUAAGAUGAUUGCCUUGCCAAAGUCACUUGACCCUUUGCUUUCAGGUCUAGAGCUAAUGUAGUCAUUGAAUUAAAAUACUAAGCACUCAGAUUAAAAACAAAAAUAAUGAAACCAAACAAAAACAACAUAGAAAUAACGAUCAGAGAAUCAUCAUCCAGCUGGAAGAAAAUAAAGUUAAGAUCUAUGGAUUCCCUAGAACCAGUGGAAACUGUGCACAGUUACUCUGAUAGCAAGUAAGAGGAGUUAAAAAGAAGGGAAAAUAGAAAGUGAUUUUCUGUUUGAUCUCUGAGAUGAUACUAAUAACUCUCUUUUAUUUUCAUGUGUCCAGUUCUGUUAGGAAUUCUGUUCAAAGGACGCAGCUGGCAACAGCUGUCUUGAGUGUGCAGUGUCUAUUUUAGUGUGUUUAAUAGCGUGGUGUCUUAAGUUAAACACAUUGCACAUUGAAUGUCUAUUUUUUUGUAUGCAGUCUAUAAAGAGUAGUUAGCAUCUUAACAGAAUGACUGUUUUGUAUGUUACGUUAUCUCUGUUGUUCUCCUCCAUGCUGGUCAGACUGUACUGCACUAGAUGUGUCUAAAAUGAAUGCAAAACCAUAGUUUGAACACAAAAGGCAUAAGGCAUAAGCAAAGAGCUAAACACAGUAGUAGUACUUGGUAGAAUGAAACCUCAUGGCAGUUGUGUCAGCUCCUUCAACAAAACUUGCAUUGUUAGCUCAAACACUGAUGUCAAAUUGCUGUAGUUUUCUGUAGGAGUAUUAGAUAUGAAUGCCCAUACCCUAAACUCACAUUAUAUUGAAAAUCUUUCUCUCUCUACACCAGUCCCAUGCUCUUUGCAGGGCAGGAAGCAAUAGUGGCUCCUUCAGCUGUUGGCUGUGCCAACGAUUAACAGGACUCUGGUGCUGAUCCACAUGGUCCACAGGGCUAAUUUGCUCCUAAUAGCCUUGCCAGCACCCUGGGCUGGGCUCCCCUUCUUCCUGGGGCAGGGAGGAGGAACGCUCUGAUCUCAGAGCAGCCCUCAGGAAAAGGCAGAGUAGAGGCACAGAAGCCUCCAUUUCCAGAAGCGUUCGGAAAUCAGUCCCUCCGCCCAGAUGAAUGAAGCCAUUCAUUCCAGCGGGUGUGGGUGGGGAGAGACUGGGAUCUAAAAGACCUGCCCGAUUUUGUAAAUGACCUGGACUAUUCCUAUGGCAUGUCGGACUACCCUGGCCAGCCUCCUCCCUGGCAGGGAGGUAAGGGCAGCGCAUUCCUAGUUUGCUGCCUCACAGACUCUGGCUGCUCUCUCCUUGCCCCUCUACUUACAGCAAUACUGGCUUUUUUGCUUCCACCCAUCCUGGCUGUGCCUGCAUCCCAGACACCCUGCUCGACCUUUUAGCCUUUGUCUCCUUUCUCUCACCCCCUCACUUGACUUACAAGCCAAGAGCAGCACUCCCACUUGCUGAAAGAGCCUUGCCCCUGUUUUCCCAAAACACUGCUCCUUCUCUGAUCCGCUUUCUCUCUUGCCAUUCCAUUUCUUUCAACAAAGCAUAUUUACCCUCUGCCCCUUGCCUCACCCUGCCCUCUUGAGACCUCCAAUCCAUUAAUGUCUAUCACUUUUUUGUCACUCUCAGCAUCUUCUCUCUGCUGUCUGUUCUCUUAAGUGACCUUAGUUAUUGCUUCCCUUCCCUUCACUCUUUCCUUGAUCUUCAGCUCUUUCUUCACUGACUCCUCAGAAAAUCUGCCCCAUGAACCCAUUCAACCCAGCUUCAUGACAAUAGCUAUCACCGUUCUCUGCUGGUCAUCUUCCCUAUAUGUUUUGCUUCUUCCUUUCUGUGUACUCUGACCAUCGCUUCAACCCAGGGAACACUUUCUUUGAAUUGUCCUUUCUCCCAGCUCUCCUUCAGGUCCUUUUCUGAAGUCUCCUUGUAGUUUGAUACAAGUGACAUUUAGGAUAGAAUACACUCACCAUUCCUCCAAAUGACUUUUUAUGAAACCUGUCCUGCUUUUCUUGCUCUUAGAAUGGGACUAAGAAUCUAUACUUUACUCUCCUUCUAGACAACACAGUCUCCACAGUUCUCUAGUUUGUUGGCAUGACUGCAUACAGAUGCUGGAUGAAGCAAGAGGCUAUUUUACCCCAGUGGUUCUGGGUACAGCUCUGACCCGUAGGUCUGCACCAGGUCAACAGCACAGGAGAUCACCUCUUAUCAACCCUGUAGCUUCAAAUGCUCUAGCCAUCCAUUUUUUGUAAUAGUUGGUAAUAAUUUAUUUUUAUCCUGCUAUAUUUGCCAUGAUUGAACUUCCCUGACUCUUUACAGUAGAAAUUCUUCUGAUUUAUUAAAAGUGUCUCCUUCUUGCUCACUUGUCUGAAGUAGGCACCAAUUCAAUUUUAUUUCCCCUAAAACAAAGUUAGGUAGGAUCUAAAUACUUGGAUUUGCUGGGAAAACUUAGUUUUUUUGAGUGCUAUUUCCCAAAGGGAGUUGUCAUUAAAUUUCAACCUGGAAUUAGUUUGGUAUUUAAUUCUUUUCUCCUUUCUAAGAAAACUUUUCACAAAUCUUUGCAGCAAAGGGACUGGAAUUGCAUUCCUCACAGAAAGAAUGUUCCUAGCUGAACAACUGUUACAGUAUUUGGUAGGAUCAUUUAUCUGAGCUGGCAUGAAAAUAUAAAUAACAUUAAAUUAAAUGAUAUUUUUUGAUACAAUUAUGAAUUUGAAAAUAAUUCUUACUUUACUACUACUGAGACGGGAAAACUGAACAGCUAGAAAUAAUGCUGAUUACAGUAGAAUAAGCUGUAGAGCUCCAAGAGGAAGUCUUGAUUAAAGACAGCAUUAAGCUCCAAGGAAAAUGGAGACUUGGAAAAAUCUUUCAAUAUUGUAACUUGAGAAUGUUUGCCUUUACGGGAGGGAAGGAAGAUGGAUGAUGCUUGAGCUGUGCCUGAAAUAAAAAUGCCUUUACUCUUUCCUUCUGACUAAAGCUUUUAAAAUUUUAUUGAAAUACUGUGAUUGUGCUUAAACAUAUAUUUGCAAAAAAAAGUAAGUUGUCAAUCUAGGAAAUGAAGAAUCCCUAAAACUAGCAAAAUCUUUUGAAUAAACUGUGUGAAACUAGUUUCUGAGCAAGGAAGCUUAAAUAUUUCCUCUUUCUUGAUCACUCUUGAUGGAGAUACUGGUCAAGCUCUUCCUCCUUUGAGGCUCUUUUCUCAUUGUGACUCUUUGUUUCGCAUUGUUCUAUCUGUGCCUCUUGAUGUGGAAUAACUUGAAAAGCUGGAAAUAACUAUGAGUAUAGUUCCAUAAUUCCAUAUAACCUGGAAAGGUUAUGCACCUAUGUCCAUUUCAUGUCUUCCCAAAUAACCUGGAAUUCUUGCAUUACUUAGACCUGACUGUAUGUUAACCGUUGGAGUCCUGUUUCCUGCGUGAACUGCUUCCAUCUAUACCUCAGUCAGCAUUAUGCUGUUCUUGUCUCUGUCUGUACUUUAUGCUGUCUGCCAUACAUGUAUCUAUGGAAAAAAAAUUGCUGCAGACAGUAAAUGCAUUAUAUCCCAUUCUUGGUAGACUUGGAGAUUGUAAUUCUCCACUUUCCAAAUUAAUAUUUUUACAAAAAAAUAAUUCUGAAACUCCUGUGGCCUUGUAAAAAUUCUACCUUUUUGUGUAUUGUAUAAAGCAGACAGAACUGGAGAGAGAAUCAAAAGGAGGUAUAUUUAGGUGCCAGUAAGUACAGUUAAGUGGAAUAAUUACAGUGGUCCAGACAAUGAUGAUAUUCCUUACACUUUGAUCAGCAUCUCUUAAUCUCUUCUAUGAUAAAUUUAAAAGGUUUGUCAUCUUCAUUUCCAGCUACUGGAGUUGGAUCCAGUCUGGUGCCCAUAUGACUGCUAAGUCUGGUGUCCUGUCAACUUUAAGGAAGUUUGGCUCCAAGAGUACUUUGCUGUUACAGUCUAGGGUGUAGAAAAACAACACAGACUUCGAAUGCAUUUCAUUUUGAUCUCUGGAGAUCCAACAGACUAGUCAUGACUGUGAGUGUGGCCAGUUUGUAGGGAAAUUGUCCCACAUGCUGACUGUAUAUCUGAUGUCCAAAUCAACUCAGUGGCAUCAAAGGGAUAUCUGAAAGGAAACGAGAAAGGAAGUAAAUCUGAAAACAGCUCAGAAACUUGUAUGCAACAUCUGAAAGGGUUUGGCCCCCUUAUGAACUGCUGACAGUUUUGUCACUGCUGUCUGUGUGUGAG
Molecule: non-coding RNA, 11392 nt
Organism: Meleagris gallopavo (turkey)
Lineage: Eukaryota; Metazoa; Chordata; Aves; Galliformes; Phasianidae
Source: RefSeq, a predicted model, not a curated record